Molecule: unclassified non-coding RNA, 152 nt
Filed under: soil metagenome
Description: partial internal transcribed spacer 1
Source: RNAcentral
CAAUAAGUGUUUAUGGGCACUUUCAAAUCCAUACCCACCUUGUGUGCAAUGUAUAAGAGUCCUUUCCAACUCGGAUUGACUUGAUUUUUCUCUCACAACGUCUUCAAUUGCAAGUCUAAGCUUUCAGAGUAAUCAAAAAAAACUCGAAUACA